This 753-nucleotide ribosomal RNA is filed under the name uncultured Actinomyces sp. RNAcentral describes it as "bacterial SSU rRNA". It matches the Rfam family "Bacterial small subunit ribosomal RNA", at positions 28 to 776 of the family's 1533-position model. Lineage: Bacteria; Bacillati; Actinomycetota; Actinomycetes; Actinomycetales; Actinomycetaceae. The record is from RNAcentral.
GACGACGCAGGCGGCGUGCUUAACACAUGCAAGUCGAACGCUGAAGCUCAGCUUUUGUUGGGUGGAUGAGUGGCGAACGGGUGAGUAACACGUGAGUAACCUGCCCCCUUCUUUGGGAUAACGCCCGGAAACGGGUGCUAAUACCAGAUAUUCACUUGCCUUCGCAUGGGGGUUGGUGGAAAGGGUUUUUUCUGGUGGGGGAUGGGCUCGCGGCCUAUCAGCUUGUUGGUGGGGUGAUGGCCUACCAAGGCUUUGACGGGUAGCCGGCCUGAGAGGGUGACCGGUCACAUUGGGACUGAGAUACGGCCCAGACUCCUACGGGAGGCAGCAGUGGGGAAUAUUGCACAAUGGGCGAAAGCCUGAUGCAGCGACGCCGCGUGAGGGAUGGAGGCCUUCGGGUUGUAAACCUCUUUCGCUCAUGGUCAAGCCGCAGCUUUGGGUUGUGGUGAGGGUAGUGGGUAAAGAAGCGCCGGCUAACUACGUGCCAGCAGCCGCGGUAAUACGUAGGGCGCGAGCGUUGUCCGGAAUUAUUGGGCGUAAAGGGCUUGUAGGCGGUUGGUCGCGUCUGCCGUGAAAUCCUCUGGCUUAACUGGGGGCGUGCGGUGGGUACGGGCUGACUUGAGUGCGGUAGGGGAGACUGGAACUCCUGGUGUAGCGGUGGAAUGCGCAGAUAUCAGGAAGAACACCGGUGGCGAAGGCGGGUCUCUGGGCCGUUACUGACGCUGAGGAGCGAAAGCGUGGGGAGCGAACAGG